This 367-nucleotide ribosomal RNA is filed under the name Enterococcus malodoratus. RNAcentral describes it as "bacterial SSU rRNA". It matches the Rfam family "Bacterial small subunit ribosomal RNA", at positions 69 to 416 of the family's 1533-position model. The record is from RNAcentral. Lineage: Bacteria; Bacillati; Bacillota; Bacilli; Lactobacillales; Enterococcaceae.
CUUUUUCUUUCACCGGAGCUUGCUCCACCGAAAGAAAAGGAGUGGCGAACGGGUGAGUAACACGUGGGUAACCUGCCCAUCAGAAGGGGAUAACACUUGGAAACAGGUGCUAAUACCGUAUAACAGUAGAAACCGCAUGGUUUCUAUUUGAAAGGCGCUUUUGCGUCACUGAUGGAUGGACCCGCGGUGCAUUAGCUAGUUGGUGAGGUAACGGCUCACCAAGGCAACGAUGCAUAGCCGACCUGAGAGGGUGAUCGGCCACAUUGGGACUGAGACACGGCCCAAACUCCUACGGGAGGCAGCAGUAGGGAAUCUUCGGCAAUGGACGAAAGUCUGACCGAGCAACGCCGCGUGAGUGAAGAAGGUU